CUACGGGGUGCACCAGUGGGGAAUAUUGCACAAUGGGCGCAAGCCUGAUGCAGCCAUGCCGCGUGUAUGAAGAAGGCCUUCGGGUUGUAAAGUACUUUCAGCGGGGAGGAAGGGAGUAAAGUUAAUACCUUUGCUCAUUGACGUUACCCGCAGAAGAAGCACCGGCUAACUCCGUGCCAGCAGCCGCGGUAAUACGGAGGGUGCAAGCGUUAAUCGGAAUUACUGGGCGUAAAGCGCACGCAGGCGGUUUGUUAAGUCAGAUGUGAAAUCCCCGGGCUCAACCGGGGAACUGCAUCUGUUACUGGCGAGCUUGAGUCUCGUAGAGGGGGGUAGAAUUCCAGGUGUAGCGGUGAAAUGCGUAGAGAUCUGGAGGAAUACCGGUGGCGAAGGCGGCCCCCUGGACGAAGACUGACGCUCAGGUGCGAAAGCGUGGGGAGCAAACAGGAUUAGAUACCCGGGUAGUC
This 464-nucleotide ribosomal RNA is filed under the name uncultured bacterium. RNAcentral describes it as "partial 16S ribosomal RNA". It matches the Rfam family "Bacterial small subunit ribosomal RNA", at positions 339 to 795 of the family's 1533-position model. The record is from RNAcentral.